Non-coding RNA from Cinara cedri, 386 nucleotides. The record is from the annotation of a GenBank genome assembly. NCBI's taxonomy places the organism in Eukaryota, Metazoa, Arthropoda, Insecta, Hemiptera, Aphididae.
AAAAGAUACAAUUAUAUCUAAGAUACUUGUAUACAAGUCCAAAGAUAAUACCCAACCAGUGGUACAACCAGAAUUUUUUGAAGGGGGGUGUCACAUAUCUACAUUGAAAAAAAAUAUACGUUUUUUUUAACACAAUUAUUUAAACACGGAUGUAAGGGGAUGUCCAGAGUCCAGACACCCAAAACACCCUCUUGGUUGUGUUACUAUACCCAACCAUGAUUAACCUAAUCUAACCAUGAUAUGUAGUUAUUAAACCUACUUAUUACUUUCUUAUACUAGAGACAAUGGGCUACUGAUAUUUUGUAUACAAUUUUAAGUUUUACAACAGGUAUAUUGCUAAAAAAAAAUUAAUUCAACAACGUAGGUUGGUUAUGUAAGUUGGAGUG